GGCUGGAUAGCUCAGUUGGUAGAGCAAGGGACUGAAAAUCCCUGUGUCGUUGGUUCGAUUCCAUCUCCAGCCACCA
Molecule: transfer RNA, 76 nt
Filed under: Rickettsiales bacterium
Lineage: Bacteria; Pseudomonadati; Pseudomonadota; Alphaproteobacteria; Rickettsiales
Description: tRNA-Phe
Rfam family: tRNA
About the family: Transfer RNA (tRNA) molecules are approximately 80 nucleotides in length. Their secondary structure includes four short double-helical elements and three loops (D, anti-codon, and T loops).
Source: RNAcentral